Molecule: ribosomal RNA, 681 nt
Filed under: uncultured bacterium
Lineage: Bacteria
Description: bacterial SSU rRNA
Rfam family: Bacterial small subunit ribosomal RNA
Source: RNAcentral
UACGGGAGGCAGCAGUAGGGAAUCUUCCACAAUGGACGAAAGUCUGAUGGAGCAACGCCGCGUGAGUGAAGAAGGGUUUCGGCUCGUAAAACUCUGUUGUUAGAGAAGAACGGCUGUGAGAGUAACUGCUCACAGUGUGACGGUAUCUAACUAGAAAGUCACGGCUAACUACGUGCCAGCAGCCGCGGUAAUACGUAGGUGGCAAACGUUGUCCGGAUUUAUUGGGCGUAAAGGGAGCGCAGGCGGCUUAUUAAGUCUGAUGUGAAAGCCUUCGGCUUAACCGGAGAAGUGCAUCGGAAACUGAUAAACUUGAGUGCAGAAAAGGAUAGUGGAACUUCAUGUGUAGCGGUGAAAUGCGUAGAUAUAUGAAGGAACACCAGUGGCGAAGGCGGCUAUCUGGUCUGUAACUGACGCUGAGGCUCGAAAGCAUGGGUAGCAAACAGGAUUAGAUACCCUGGUAGUCCAUGCCGUAAACGAUGAAUGCUAAGUGUUGGGAGGUUUCCGCCUCUCAGUGCCGCAGCUAACGCAUUAAGCAUUCCGCCUGGGGAGUACGACCGCAAGGUUGAAACUCAAAGGAAUUGACGGGGACCCGCACAAGCGGUGGAGCAUGUGGUUUAAUUCGAUGCUACGCGAAGAACCUUACCAGGACUUGACAUCCUCUGCCAAUCUAAGAGAUUAGAC